This 865-nucleotide ribosomal RNA is filed under the name Neolana dalmasi. RNAcentral's name for it is "SSU rRNA". It matches the Rfam family "Eukaryotic small subunit ribosomal RNA", at positions 52 to 916 of the family's 1831-position model. The record is from RNAcentral. Lineage: Eukaryota; Metazoa; Arthropoda; Arachnida; Araneae; Neolanidae.
UGCAUGUCUAAGCACAUGCCGUAUUAAGGCGAAACCGCGAAUGGCUCAUUAAAUCAGUUAUGGUUCCUUGGAUCGUACCUUACUACUUGGAUAACUGUGGCAAUUCUAGAGCUAAUACAUGCAGCAGAGCUCCGACCUUCGGGGACGAGCGCUUUUAUUAGACCAAAACCGAUCGGACCUAGCGUCCGCAUCUUGUGGUGACUCUGUAUAACCUUGGGCUGAUCGCACGGGCUUGUCCCGGCGACGUAUCCUUCAAGUGUCUGCCUUAUCAACUUUCGAUGGUAGGUUACGCGCCUACCAUGGUCGUAACGGGUGACGGGGAAUCAGGGUUCGAUUCCGGAGAGGGAGCCUGAGAAACGGCUACCACAUCCAAGGAAGGCAGCAGGCGCGCAAAUUACCCACUCCCAGAACGGGGAGGUAGUGACGAAAAAUAACAAUACGGGACUCUUUUGAGACCCCGUAAUUGGAAUGAGGACACUGUAAAUCCUUGUCCCAGGAUCCAUUGGAGGGCAAGUCUGGUGCCAGCAGCUGCGGUAAUUCCAGCUCCAAUAGCGUAUAUUAAAGUUGUUGCGGUUAAAAAGCUCGUAGUUGGAUCUCAGUUCCAGACGGGUGGUCCGCCUAACGGUGGUUACCGCCUGUUCUGAACAGCCAGCCGGUUUCUCUUGAUGAUCUUCACCGGUUGUCUUGGGUGACCGGCAAGUUUACUUUGAAAAAAUUAGAGUGCUCAAAGCAGGCGUGACGCCUGAAUAAUGGUGCAUGGAAUAAUGGAAUAGGAUCUCGGUUCUAUUUUGUUGGUUUUCGGAACACGAGAUAAUGAUUAAGAGGGACAGACGGGGGCAUUCGUAUUGCGACGCUAGAGGUGAAA